AUUGAACGCUGGCGGAAUGCUUUACACAUGCAAGUCGAACGGCAGCACGGACUUCGGUCUGGUGGCGAGUGGCGAACGGGUGAGUAAUACAUCGGAACGUGCCCAGUCGUGGGGGAUAACGUAGCGAAAGCUACGCUAAUACCGCAUACGAUCUAAGGAUGAAAGCGGGGGAUCGCAAGACCUCGCGCGAUUGGAGCGGCCGAUGGCAGAUUAGGUAGUUGGUGGGGUAAAGGCCUACCAAGCCGACGAUCUGUAGCGGGGCUGAGCGGACGACCAGCCAAGCUGGGACUGGGACACGGCCCAGACUCCUACGGGAGGCAGCAGUGGGGAAUUUUGGACAAUGGGCGCAAGCCUGAUCCAGCCAUUCCGCGUGCAGGAUGAAGGCCCUCGGGUUGUAAACUGCUUUUGUACGGAACGAAAAGGCUCUGGUUAAUACCCGGGGCUCAUGACGGUACCGUAAGAAUAAGCACCGGCUAACUACGUGCCAGCAGCCGCCGUAA
RNAcentral lists this ribosomal RNA (500 nucleotides) under uncultured bacterium. RNAcentral's name for it is "partial 16S ribosomal RNA". It matches the Rfam family "Bacterial small subunit ribosomal RNA", at positions 29 to 523 of the family's 1533-position model. The record is from RNAcentral.